AGAAUUUCUCAUUGUUAGUUUAUUAUUUUUUGAAAUAUAAAGAUAAAACACAAAUUUAACAUAAUCAUAAACUCCUCAAAUCUCAGGAUUGUAAGACCUUAAGUAUACCAUUUAUAAUUGAGAUCAUAUAAUCUCUUUCUCCUUCAGAGGAAAACCCUGAAGAACUAUACAAGUUUCUGAGAAUAAAACCCUAAACACUUUCUUAUCUAUACUUUUUUAGCCUUUCUUAUAUAGACUAUUUCUUUCUUGCUUGAAGUGAUACUCACAUUCAGUCAUUAAAAUUGGAAUCCCAAUGGAAAGAAAAGAUUGAAAAUUUGGGGUCUAUUUUAAAAAAAAAUACAAAAACAGUGUGUCAAGAAACACCGUAAACAAAGUCAUAAACAACACAUUCAUAAAGUUAAGGGAUAUAGAACUGGUGGGAAGAUUAACCAAUACAUUUACAUAUCAGGAGAAAAUACAAACCAUCUUGAAAAUAAUAAAAAGUGUGCAAUGACACUCAAAAUAGAAAUCUGAACUAAAAAUGUCAUUUAAAUACUAUUUUCUUCCAUCAGAUUGGCAGAAAUCCAAGUCUUGCUAAUAUAUUCUGUGUGUGUGUCCCCAAUGGCAGUGGGGACCUGGAAUGCCCACAUUUUCCUGGUAGGAGUAGAGUUUUGUAUAAUCUUCCAAUUUGGCAAUUUGGUUCUAUCUAUCAGUAUUACAAAGCCCCUACCGACUGAUUAAUAAUCCCACUUCUAGGAAUUAAUCCUACAUAUAUAUUUUCACGUGUGAGAAAUUAUGUUUAAAGUUAUUAACUGCUGCACCG
This 802-nucleotide long non-coding RNA is filed under the name Marmota monax (woodchuck). Lineage: Eukaryota; Metazoa; Chordata; Mammalia; Rodentia; Sciuridae. The record is from RNAcentral.